CUUACACCGAAUGCUUGCAUUCACCGUAAGAAGUUGAGUGGCGGACGGGUGAGUAACACGUGGGUAACCUGCCUAAAAGAAGGGGAUAACACUUGGAAACAGGUGCUAAUACCGUAUAUCUCUAAGGAUCGCAUGAUUCUUAGAUGAAAGAUGGUUCUGCUAUCGCUUUUAGAUGGACCCGCGGCGUAUUAACUAGUUGGUGGGGUAACGGCCUACCAAGGUGAUGAUACGUAGCCGAACUGAGAGGUUGAUCGGCCACAUUGGGACUGAGACACGGCCCAAACUCCUACGGGAGGCAGCAGUAGGGAAUCUUCCACAAUGGACGCAAGUCUGAUGGAGCAACGCCGCGUGAGUGAAGAAGGUCUUCGGAUCGUAAAACUCUGUUGUUAGAGAAGAACACGAGUGAGAGUAACUGUUCAUUCGAUGACGGUAUCUAACCAGCAAGUCACGGCUAACUACGUGCCAGCAGCCGCGGUAAUACGUAGGUGGCAAGCGUUGUCCGGAUUUAUUGGGCGUAAAGGGAACGCAGGCGGUCUUUUAAGUCUGAUGUGAAAGCCUUCGGCUUAACCGGAGUAGUGCAUUGGAAACUGGAAGACUUGAGUGCAGAAGAGGAGAGUGGAACUCCAUGUGUAGCGGUGAAAUGCGUAGAUAUAUGGAAGAACACCAGUGGCGAAAGCGGCUC
This 682-nucleotide ribosomal RNA is filed under the name uncultured Bacilli bacterium. Its description in RNAcentral is "bacterial SSU rRNA". It matches the Rfam family "Bacterial small subunit ribosomal RNA", at positions 67 to 727 of the family's 1533-position model. Lineage: Bacteria; Bacillati; Bacillota; Bacilli. The record is from RNAcentral.